Molecule: ribosomal RNA, 432 nt
Filed under: uncultured fungus
Lineage: Eukaryota; Fungi
Description: eukaryotic LSU rRNA
Rfam family: Eukaryotic large subunit ribosomal RNA
Source: RNAcentral
GGCCUCAAAUCAAGCAAGACUACCCGCUGAACUUAAGCAUAUCAGUAAGCGGAGGAAAAGAAACUAACAAGGAUUCCCCUAGUAACGGCGAGUGAAGCGGGAAUAGCUCAAAUUUAAAUCUCGGCGUUUUACGUCGCGAAUUGUAGUCUAAAGAGGGUGAUCUAGGGUUGGUGGUGUGCUCAAGUUCCUUGGAAUAGGACGCCAGAGAGGGUGAGAGCCCCGUAACAGCACAUUGCCUUCCUCAAGUGAGAGCCUCUCAACGAGUCGAGUUGUUUGGGAAUGCAGCUCAAAGUGGGUGGUAAAUCUCAUCUAAGGCUAAAUACUGGCAAGAGACCGAUAGCGAACAAGUACCGUGAGGGAAAGAUGAAAAGCACCUUGAAAAGGGAGUUAAAUAGUGCGUGAAAUUGUUAAAAGGGAAACGAUAGAGACUAG